ACGAAUCGGGGAGACAUGGGGCAGAUGCACGAAUCGGGGAGACAUGGGGCAGAUGCACGAAUCGGGGAGACAUGGGGCAGAUGCACGAAUCGGGGAGACAUGGGGCAGAUGCACGAAGUGUGAUGCAGGACAGGCUUGUGGUGCUUAGCUACAUAAGAUCAUUCUGUAUAAAAAAAGCUUCCCCAUUUAAGUGAACUGGCUUUAAGAGUACUUCAUUUUGCAGAGGCAGCUGUAACUGGCCUUGGCAUUGGAUCCAGGAUAUCCAUUUUGUAUCAAGUGCAAAUUUUGUUAUGUGAUCUACGAUGCCUGGAAAAGUUUGUAGCGAAGAUCACUACAUCUCACAAAAAGUGAAUAAAAAGAAGAGGAUUGGUAUUUCUGGAAAUGACUGUUCAUUGAAAAUUCAGCAACGUGGCCUUAUAAUCUUCAGAUAUGAAUUUUCUGUAAACGUGUUACUGAGUCCCUGUAGUAGAAGACUUGGAAGAAAUAAACAGAAAAGUAAUAGAAAUAUUGGAAUACAUAUUUUUCUUUAUUGUUUUUGAGGAACUUGAAAACAGGACAGGUCACCUUCAACUCAGUGUUUAAAGAGGCACUUAAGAAUCAGGAUCUCAUUGGCAUCAGUAUGUUUUACACCUGAACUUGAAAAGUGUCUCAAAGUCUUGUUAAUAUUUGAAAAAAUAUUUCAAGGACCUUAGAACAAAAGGAAUACUUUAAUAUUUCAAUGGAAAGAAGAAUAUCAUGUCUACUGCCAGAAAUAUGGACUGCGUUUUGAAAUUUGCAUUGUAUUAGACAAUAUUUGUAAUUCAGUGGGGGUAGUAAGGGCUCCCGUGGUGUAGCUGGACACUAGCAUCUGUUUGGACUUUCCAUUUGCAUAUUCAGACCACAAUUCUGCCAUAGCACAGAAGUAAAGCCUAGAAAAUAAUUAUUCAUAUGUUUCCAGUUGUAUCUUUUACCCAAACUUCAUUUUAUUUUUCUCCUAGAAUGCACAGACGGACUAAGGGUUGAUUAGCUCACUGGCCGUACUUCAUUAUGAAACAGUAUAUAAUUCAUGUUUAAAAAUUCUUUUCCCUUAGAUCCUUUCCCCGCUUGCCAAAAAGGAAAGUGUUUUGCACUUGUAUUUAUGUCUCUCAGAUAUAUUUUUGAUUUAUUUGAUUUAACUAUCCAGUGAAUUCUAGUCAACAUGGAUUUUAAAUACUAAUAAAAGUAAAGUUGAG
This 1211-nucleotide long non-coding RNA is filed under the name Numida meleagris (helmeted guineafowl). Its description in RNAcentral is "lncRNA (ENSNMEG00000004505.1)". Lineage: Eukaryota; Metazoa; Chordata; Aves; Galliformes; Numididae. The record is from RNAcentral.